Molecule: long non-coding RNA, 1197 nt
Filed under: Fukomys damarensis (Damara mole-rat)
Lineage: Eukaryota; Metazoa; Chordata; Mammalia; Rodentia; Bathyergidae
Description: lncRNA (ENSFDAG00000033251.1)
Source: RNAcentral
GUCGGAGCUUCAGCUGCUGGCUUCCGCUGCGGACACUCCCUACACCGUCCCUGGAAGGAGUGACCCCCGGGCCUCUACCGCCUGUCCAGUUAGUCUUCCAGUCAGCGAGUUGUGUGUCCUGCUGGGUGCAGGGAGGUCAGAUGACAGGGAUGAGGACAGAGACCAAGCACAGGGAUGGCCAGAGACAUCACAGGAAGUGGAAAUCGAGAUCCAAUCUCUACCCUUCUCACCAGGCUGUCGUUGUUGUUGUGUUGCUUUGUUUUGUUUUUGUUUUUUGAAACAGGGUCUUGCUAAGUAGCCCAGGCUGGCCCUGAAUUCACAAGGAUUCUCCUGCUUCAUCCUCCUGGGUGCUGGGAUUGCAGGCUUGGACCACGACCAGUUCAUCCGGCUGUUAAAAGAAUCAACCUUGAAAAGCCAAUUACUUUAGAAUAGAAGUGACCUGCAAACUGUUAGGUACUCUGCCCACAUUUGUCGGCACGUGACACGCAGUCCCUGGGCUGACCUGAGAUCAGGUGUGAGAUACUAACUGGACACUGAGCAGAGCUGGGCCUGGAAGGAAUUGGGAGGAAAGGGGAAUAAAAGGGUGGCUAGGCCCUUGCCCAUCUCACCACCACCCAACUGACAGCCUUCCCACUGUGCUUUACAGUGUGGUGCCGGCCAUCAGUCCCCAGAUGCUGCUGUGCCUGUCGCCUGCGUCCCUGAACAGAGAUGGAUGUGCCUGGCACGGGAUCCAUCACACAGAGCAGAGCCAGAAGAUGGAGAGCCCAGCCAGCAUGCUGGGAAAGCGCGACCCCACCCCACCACCCCUUCCUGGGGCAGCCUCACUCCAAGGGCACAAGAUUCACGCGCUGCCUACACAGAAUGCAUAAAACCUCCACUGUGUCUGGAUGGGAAGCCACCUCGGAUCCAUGCUGGAAGGAGAUGGGCGAUCAAUCAGGAAUAAUAAAAUAUGCAGGAGCCGCUGCAUUUGCGAGCAUGCAGGCGAGGAAGAGCAGAGCAAGACAAGGAGGCUCGGACAAGCGGGGGCCACGGGCCACUCCGCAGCCAUUCCCGGGGGAGGUGGCCUCUGCUUUCAAGAGGAAGCGACCCUGAGUUGAACGCAGUGUAAUCAAGCUAUGUGGUGAGGGUUAAACAGAAAACAAUUUAUUAUGGGGAAAGCUGCACUGCCGGAAGCUCCUGUCCCGGGACACUCCCCGC